AUACGUAGGGUGCGAGCGUUGUCCGGAAUUACUGGGCGUAAAGAGCUCGUAGGUGGUUUGUCGCGUCGUCUGUGAAAUUCCGGGGCUUAACUCCGGGCGUGCAGGCGAUACGGGCAUAACUUGAGUACUGUAGGGGAGACUGGAAUUCCUGGUGUAGCGGUGAAAUGCGCAGAUAUCAGGAGGAACACCGGUGGCGAAGGCGGGUCUCUGGGCAGUAACUGACGCUGAGGAGCGAAAGCAUGGGUAGCGAACAGGAUUAGAUACCCUGGUAUUCCAUGCCGUAACCGGUGGGCGCUAGGUGUAGGGGUCUUCCACGACUUCUGUGCCGUAGCUAACGCAUUAAGCGCCCCGCCUGGGGAGUACGGCCGCAAGGCUAAAACUCAAAGGAAUUGACGGGG
Molecule: ribosomal RNA, 398 nt
Filed under: uncultured bacterium
Lineage: Bacteria
Description: partial 16S ribosomal RNA
Rfam family: Bacterial small subunit ribosomal RNA
Source: RNAcentral